GAUGAACGCUGGCGGCAUGCUUAACACAUGCAAGCCGGACGGGAAGUGGUGUUUCCAGUGGCGGCCGGGUGAGUAACGCGUAAGAACCUGCCCUUGGGAGGGGAACAACAGCUGGAAACGGCUGCUAAUACCCCGUAGGCUGAGGAGCAAAAGGAGGAAUCCGCCCGAGGAGGGGCUUGCGUCUGAUUAGCUAGUUGGUGAGGCAAUAGCUUACCAAGGCGAUGAUCAGUAGCUGGUACGAGAGGAUGAUCAGCCACACUGGGAGUGAGACACGGCCCAGACUCAUACGGGAGGCAGACGUGAGGAAUGUUCCGCAAUGGGCGAAAGACUGACGGAGCAAGGCGGCGUGGAGGUAGAAGGCCAACGGGUCGUGAACUGCUUUUCCCGGAGAAGAAGCAAUGACGGUAUCUGGGGAAUAAGCAACGGCUAGCUCUGUG
This 437-nucleotide ribosomal RNA is filed under the name uncultured bacterium. RNAcentral's name for it is "partial 16S ribosomal RNA". It matches the Rfam family "Bacterial small subunit ribosomal RNA", at positions 28 to 507 of the family's 1533-position model. The record is from RNAcentral.